ACCACCGCCGAAUCCCAGCCACCGAUCGCCACCCCAGCCUUCCGCUCCUUCAUCAACAAGAUCUCCGACACCGUCCGCAACGGCCUCUCCCAGCGCCGCCCCUGGGCAGAGCUCACCGACCGCUCCGCGUGGGCAGAGCUCGCCGACCGAUCCGCCUUCUCCAAGCCGGAUUCCGUCUCCGACGCCACUCUCCGCCUCCGCAAGAACUACGCCUACUUCCGCGUCAAUUACCUCACCGCGGUGGCCGCGAUCCUCGCCUUCUCGUUGAUCUCCCA
This 275-nucleotide long non-coding RNA is filed under the name Linum usitatissimum (flax). Its description in RNAcentral is "long non-coding RNA (LUSI_LNC008266)". The record is from RNAcentral. Lineage: Eukaryota; Viridiplantae; Streptophyta; Magnoliopsida; Malpighiales; Linaceae.